AAACAACUACGAGUGAAAACUUAAAACUUAAAAGACUUGACGGUACUUCAAACCAACCUAGAGGAGCCUGUCUAGUAACCGAUAAUCCACGCUUAACCCAACCCGCUCUAGCCAACCAGUCUAUAUACCGCCGUCGCCAGUCCACCUUAUGAAAGAACCAAAGUAAACUCAAUAGUAUCACACUAACACGACAGGUCGAGGUGUAACCAAUGAGCCGGCAACAGAUGGGCUACAUUUUCUAAUCCUAGAACAGACAGACAAGAACAUGAAAACACCUUUGAAGGUGGAUUUAGCAGUAAGCCCCGAGAGCAAAUUACCCAACUGAAACAAACAUGCAAUGAAGUGCGU
RNAcentral lists this ribosomal RNA (348 nucleotides) under Xenodermus javanicus. RNAcentral describes it as "partial 12S ribosomal RNA". The record is from RNAcentral. Lineage: Eukaryota; Metazoa; Chordata; Lepidosauria; Squamata; Xenodermidae.